Molecule: ribosomal RNA, 119 nt
Filed under: Lepisosteus oculatus (spotted gar)
Lineage: Eukaryota; Metazoa; Chordata; Actinopteri; Semionotiformes; Lepisosteidae
Source: RNAcentral
GCCAGUAGCCACAUCACCCUGCAACUCACACCUGGCAGCCCCCUGAAGCUCAGCAGGUGUGAGCCUGGCCAGUACCUUGAUGGGAGACCUCCUGGGAGAAACUAAGGUUGCUGCUGGAA